Molecule: ribosomal RNA, 252 nt
Filed under: uncultured Flectobacillus sp.
Lineage: Bacteria; Pseudomonadati; Bacteroidota; Cytophagia; Cytophagales; Flectobacillaceae
Description: partial 16S ribosomal RNA
Rfam family: Bacterial small subunit ribosomal RNA
Source: RNAcentral
UGACGAGUUUGAUCCUGGCUCAGGAUGAACGCUAGCGGCAGGCCUAAUACAUGCAAGUCGAACUGUGAUAGCAAUAUCAUAGUGGCGCACGGGUGCGUAACACGUAUGCAACCUACCUAUUAUUGGGGGAUAGCCUUUGGAAACGGAGAUUAAUACCGCAUAAUACGAUUGACUGGCAUCGGUUGAUUGUUAAAGCUUUGGCGAUAAUAGAUGGGCAUGCGUCCAAUUAGCUAGUUGGUGAGGUAACGGCUC